CCUUGUACACACCGCCCGUCAAGCCACGAAAGUGGGGGGCGCCCAACAGCACUGUCGUAACCGCAAGGAACAAGGUGCCUAAGGCGAACUCCGUGAUUGGGACU
This 104-nucleotide ribosomal RNA is filed under the name uncultured bacterium. RNAcentral describes it as "partial 16S ribosomal RNA". It matches the Rfam family "Bacterial small subunit ribosomal RNA", at positions 1379 to 1482 of the family's 1533-position model. The record is from RNAcentral.